Long non-coding RNA from Phacochoerus africanus (Common warthog), 1348 nucleotides. RefSeq lists it as uncharacterized. NCBI's taxonomy places the organism in Eukaryota, Metazoa, Chordata, Mammalia, Artiodactyla, Suidae. The transcript has 3 exons. The record is from RefSeq and is a predicted model, not a curated record.
AACUAACACAGAUGUUCAGAAGUGGGUCACGAGGCAGCCACGUGAGAGGCCUCUCCAGGCUCAGGGACAGCGGGACCCUCUGGGGCUCGGCGAUGCGUGACCCCCUCUUGGACCCCAUGCGUAGACGGGCCCGGCGUGGGUCUACAUGAGCCUGGUGUGGCCCAGCCCCCAGCUCUCAGCAAAGAGGACUUGGGGCGACUCGGGUUUACUUUCAAUGGUCAUUGAGCGGAGCCCGGAUGAAGCCUCCUAAGAACAAAGGGUGCACCUGCCAUUUAGGAAAUUCUUGGGUCUGAAUCUUCAUCUCAAUCAUUCCAUUUUACAUUAUCGUCCCUAAAUUUUUUUUCUAAAAUGAAUAACCAAUAGCCUGGAGCUUGUAGGUCACUCAAGAGGAAUUAUUUUAUUUGCUGAACAGAGAUUAGUUAAAAGUAAUCAGGAAAAUUUUAUACUUUCAUCCAAAACUGUUAUGAUAAAAUGUCAUAGUUAUAGCAUAAAUAUAAAUGUCAUCUUUACCCAUAAAUUCCCUUUACCUACAUGGUCGUCCCGUUCUCUUGGAGUCACUCUACCCACACGGUUAAAGAAUACCCCAGACUCUUCCUCACGACGAAGCCCAACAGGUAGGCGGGGAUGUGCACAGCCCAGCUCACGGGGCAGUGACUUAAGAGGUGCAGGGGAGAAGCCUCUUGGCCUCAAGCAGCACGAGAGAUGUGGGGCCCCUGUGAAACGGGCAGAUUCAAGCACAUUUCAGCACUUUCUGAUGGAGAGGCCCUACGAAAAUCACUCCUUUUCCUGCUUUUACUCAAAUCGUGGGAAGGUGUGCAAACCGGUUGGUUAAUAUAGAGGGACUUUUGUCCACAUCUAGAAAACUGGGAAAAUACUAGUCUUCCGAUGUGGCAACGCUCUUCUGAAAGUUUGCCAGCACCCAGGAGAAGAUGGGCAUCACGGUUAUUCAUAGCAACACCACGAAGAAGCCAAAGGAAACAAGCGAGCUCGCGCUGGGACUGGGCGCCCACGUGGUGGUGCGUCCGAGGAGGUGCCAUCUAAGGGGCGAGCAAGCAUUCAGGCGCCGAGGUGGGGAGUCUGGCGGGGUAGGGACAGCCGGUGUGCAGCACCGGCCUUUGUGUAACAAGGGAGCAUGAGGGACUCGUUUGCCCGCGUUCUUGCACUGAUUAAAGAAUCCUCAAAAAGGAUGCUCCAGAAACUAAUAGAAAGUGUGGCCUCUGGGCUGGAAGUGGGGUUGGUGGUGCAGGGAGAAGGCAGGAAACCAGAGGGAGCAACCCUCUGCACUGUCAGAUUAUUUUGAUUUUCGAGCUGGGUGAAUUACUACCUACGUAAACGAGAAAUUAAAGAA